RNAcentral lists this long non-coding RNA (1376 nucleotides) under Androctonus crassicauda. Lineage: Eukaryota; Metazoa; Arthropoda; Arachnida; Scorpiones; Buthidae. The record is from RNAcentral.
AUGUCUUAAAUAGAAGUCAAUAUUUGAAUAAAGAUUAUUCAAUGAUAUACAAAUUUGGUCUAAAAUGCAAAAUACAAUAUAGAUUUAGUUCUUCUUCAAAGUUCAUAUAUUUUCUCCACUGUUUCCAUAUGACAAAUUAAUUGGAAAACUCAAUAUAUAUAUGUGAUCAAAGCAAUCCUCUGUUGAUAUGAAAAAGAAAAACCUCUGAAAUUGUUGUUAAGAGAAGAACACUGUUUUUCCCUUACAAAUAUGUAUAUCUUGAAAUCAUUAAUUCUGUAUUCCAAAUCAUGCAUUCCAUUAUUUUUAGAAGUAUUUAUUAGUAUGAAUGGGAAAACCGAUUAGUACCACUAGACCAUUAGGCAAAAAUUAAAAUGAUUGAAAUUUUUCAGUGCUGCAAUUGACAAAACCAAUGUUAAUUAAUUUGCCUAAUAUAUAGUCACCUAAACAUCACUUCCAGUUCUGCUGCCAAAUAAAAAGCAUAAUAUCUGAUGUUUUAGGUGAAAUUAAAAAAAAAAAAUCACAAAAAUUACAAGUAUACUGAAUUUGUAGAAUAAAUGUUUUAAAUUUACCAUUAUUGUCUAAAAAUGAUGCUCCAUUCUUAUAAUGGAAAAAAACAUUGGAAAUAUCUCUGCUAAAUAAUUUGGUUUUGAAAUGUUUAAGUACACCAGCUUAAGUGCUCUAUUUAAGUUAACUUCAGAUUACUUUUGAUAUUUCAGUAUAAUAAUUUUCAUGGCAAAUAUAAAAUAGCCUAAAUUUAUCAGACAUUGGCCAAUUAAUAAAAACUGAUUACCAGUUAAUCUGUUAAAUGACUGAUGAAGCUGAUUUUAAUUUUGGUGCAACCUUAACUCACACUCACACACUCACACUCACACACACACACACUCAUACAGUAUAGGGACCAAUUAUUCAAUAUAUAUCUAUUCAAAAUGCUGAGAAAAACUUGUUCCAGAAGAUAAUGCAUAGAAUUGUUGCAUUCAUGAAUUUAAUAUUGGUUUGUUUUGAAAAGUAUUCAUGCUUGAGCAAGCACAGUUCUAGCUUCACUUGCUAUUAUUAAGCUUCAAUAGCUCAAUAGAAUUAGAUAAUACAGUAAUAUGCAAAUUACUCAAUGCACAAUCUUUCUUUUCUAUUGUCAUUAGAGGACUUUAUUCUUUUUGAACAUGUUCCAAUCAGUUUCAUACUAUAUGAUAUCAUUAAAUGUAGUUUUAAUCUGUUGUUUGAAUGUUUUCACCAUAUUCUUCAUUUGCAUUUUUUUUUUAAUAUUCCAUUUCUGUUGUGGAAAAUUAUUUUUAAAAAUAUUCAUUAGGAUAAAGCAAUUUUAUUUAUUUUUUCACAAUAUGUUGAUGAGCAUUGGCGAAGACUGUACAAAGACUGCAUAC